GAGAUGAAGAGGAUAGAGAACAAGAUUAAUAGA
This 33-nucleotide small RNA is filed under the name Arabidopsis thaliana (thale cress). RNAcentral describes it as "ATSL127550". The record is from RNAcentral. Lineage: Eukaryota; Viridiplantae; Streptophyta; Magnoliopsida; Brassicales; Brassicaceae.